UUGAACGCUGGCGGCAUGCCUUACACAUGCAAGUCGAACGGCAGCACGGGGGCAACCCUGGUGGCGAGUGGCGAACGGGUGAGUAAUACAUCGGAACGUGCCCUGAAGUGGGGGAUAACGUAGCGAAAGUUACGCUAAUACCGCAUAUUCUGUGAGCAGGAAAGCAGGGGAUCGCAAGACCUUGCGCUUUAGGAGCGGCCGAUGUCGGAUUAGCUAGUUGGUGAGGUAAAGGCUCACCAAGGCGACGAUCCGUAGCGGGUCUGAGAGGAUGAUCCGCCACACUGGGACUGAGACACGGCCCAGACUCCUACGGGAGGCAGCAGUGGGGAAUUUUGGACAAUGGGGGCAACCCUGAUCCAGCCAUUCCGCGUGAGUGAAGAAGGCCUUCGGGUUGUAAAACUCUUUCGGCAGGAACGAAACGGUGAGCUCUAACAUAGCUUGCUAAUGACGGUACCUGAAGAAGAAGCACCGGCUAACUACGU
RNAcentral lists this ribosomal RNA (482 nucleotides) under uncultured bacterium. RNAcentral describes it as "bacterial SSU rRNA". It matches the Rfam family "Bacterial small subunit ribosomal RNA", at positions 30 to 506 of the family's 1533-position model. The record is from RNAcentral.